RNAcentral lists this ribosomal RNA (542 nucleotides) under Boseongicola sp. SB0675_bin_26. RNAcentral describes it as "partial 23S ribosomal RNA". It matches the Rfam family "Bacterial large subunit ribosomal RNA", at positions 2377 to 2925 of the family's 2925-position model. Lineage: Bacteria; Pseudomonadati; Pseudomonadota; Alphaproteobacteria; Rhodobacterales; Paracoccaceae. The record is from RNAcentral.
GAGACUGACAGGUCGAGCAGAGUCGAAAGACGGCCAUAGUGAUCCGGUGGUCCCGCGUGGAAGGGCCAUCGCUCAACGGAUAAAAGGUACGCCGGGGAUAACAGGCUGAUGGUGCCCAAGAGUCCAUAUCGACGGCACCGUUUGGCACCUCGAUGUCGGCUCAUCUCAUCCUGGGGCUGAAGCAGGUCCCAAGGGUACGGCUGUUCGCCGUUUAAAGAGGUACGUGAGCUGGGUUUAGAACGUCGUGAGACAGUUCGGUCCCUAUCUGCCGUGGGUGCAGGAUACUUGAGAGGAGUUGCCCCUAGUACGAGAGGACCGGGGUGAACGAUCCACUGGUGGACCUGUUGUGGCGCCAGCCGCAGUGCAGGGUAGCUAUGAUCGGAAAGGAUAACCGCUGAAGGCAUCUAAGCGGGAAGCCCCCCUCGAAACAAGGUAUCCCUGAGGGCCGUGCAAGACCAGCACGUCGAUAGGCCGGAUGUGCAAGCGCAGCAAUGCGUUCAGCUGACCGGUACUAAUUGCCCGAUAGGCUUGAUUUGAUCCAG